CGUAGUGAAGCAUUGGAUGAAGGAAAACAAUCUCGGUAAAACAUUUUCUGUUUUUCCAAUAUUAAAGUAAAUUUGAACUCCUAUAGUUCUUUUUCUAAAAAGUCAAUUUUUGUAGUUGUGCAAACAGUGUAUACUUCAUUCUGAUCUUAACAGCGUUAAAGUUUAGUGGAUUUGCAUCUGCUUCAGGUUGCGUUUUUGACCUUCUUUUGUAAUCUCAGUGAAUUAGUUUCUUUGCUGUCAUUAUUGUGUACUGUUAUUGAUAAAUAUUAGCUACAUAAUGUACAUUAAGGGAACAUUAAACUGUAGUUGGUUAUACUUUCAUGAUAACACAGUUAUUAAAGAAAUUUGUUGUGCUAGUUCUCAUAAUUUAAAGAAAUUUAGUGUGCAGUACUUUUAUUUUAAACUGAUUAUGGAUCAUGUAUGCAGCAGUGUCUAUGCGUGGGCUAAGCCUAAUUUAGCAAUUAGAUUAAAUAUGUUGAAGUAGCAGUGAGGUCAGGAUAGGCCAGGGUUUAGGUUGCAGAUGUACCAGCAGACAUCACAGUGUGGAAGAUGAGGAGGAUCUGCUUGAAAGCAGGAAGGUGUAAACUGUAAGGAUGCUGUGAAAUGAAUUACACUCCAGGCUUGGAUUAGCACAUGUUUGAGAUUUAUUUUUCAAGUGAAAACAUUGGAGAUUCAUCUGAAAUUAUAUUCAAUUCGAAAUGUGUAAAUUUUUUGUGAUAAGUCUUUCAUGGCAUGCCUGGGUGUCAGCUGCCUGCCCUGGGCCAGGACUAUGUUUCCAGACUGUUUUUAUCCCACAAGGGUUUUUUUAAGUCUGGUUUUACGCAGCCGGCAGGCAGCACAUAAAACAGAUCUACCUGACAAAUCAGUUUGAUUUCAUUUUGACUGAUAUAUCUUUGGAUCAUGCAUGGUUAAUUAACAGAGUUUUUGGUGUUUAGUAACUUGGUAUUAAUUGAAAAUAAACUACGUUUGGAUGAUA
Molecule: long non-coding RNA, 976 nt
Organism: Pocillopora damicornis (cauliflower coral)
Lineage: Eukaryota; Metazoa; Cnidaria; Anthozoa; Scleractinia; Pocilloporidae
Source: RefSeq, a predicted model, not a curated record